This 1393-nucleotide long non-coding RNA is filed under the name Homo sapiens (human). Its description in RNAcentral is "HSALNT0372876". Lineage: Eukaryota; Metazoa; Chordata; Mammalia; Primates; Hominidae. The record is from RNAcentral.
AUGAGUCUUUUCUUCCUCCUUCCUGGGAGGGGUUGGAACUAAGCCUCAAAGCAGAGUAGCUGACAACGUGGCGUGGGAGAGGCUUGGAUGUGUCGCUGGAGAGAAACAUUCUUGCCACCCCCACCCUAAAGAGGCUGCGGGGACAGGCAGCCCAGCCCUCCUGGCCUAUUUUCGGGCUGGAGAGAGGUUCAGUCUCAGGCACAGUUUUGGGAGGCAGAUCAGCCUCCCUGUUCCGGCCUCCCACUCCCAUGGAGCUCUCUGCUGCCUCUUCCAAGGGGCCGCAGAUACCCGUUCCUUGCUCUAUUUCUUCACCAGCCCUACCUGUUCUCAGUCCAUUACCUCAUGGCCCUGCUCUCUGCUUACUAAAGUGACAAUUCGUCUAUAAGGAAGCCCUUGCACUGUAGCUGAGGAUUCGCGAGGCUGCACCCUCAGCAGGCACUGUGGCCACACAGCACUGGCCUGAGAUCUGAGUUCCUGGAGCCUCGGCCCUGAGGCCCAUGGCCAUAGAACAAGCCAUUUUCAACAAAAGGACUUGCAAAUUCCUGCCUUAGGGCUCCUUCUGCACAGGACAGACCUUUCAUCACCAACCCAACUUGUAAUCUUGGGUAAAGAAGGUUCUCAGCUCAUUUUCAAGAAGAAAAAAAAAAUGGAAGGAGCUAGCAGCCCCAAAGUACUUCCACUGAAGCCUUUGGAAAAGAGGGAAGACUCCAAGUCUCUGGCACCUGCAGAAGAGGGGAAUCUUGAGAAGUAGCUGACGCUCCGAGUUUACAUGUCCCCUUGGUGAGAUUUCUUACAGCAGAACAUGACGUUCUUCCCACCCCCAGGAUGCAAACCACUUUAAAAGAAUGUUAUACUUUGCUCUGCGUGGCCAAAUACCACAAACACCACUUGAUUUUAAAAUUAUGUAGUCUUGGUAUUCCAAAGCCAACGUGCACCACCAUGCAAGAACAGAUGCGGUCUCUGAAGGCAAAAGCCCCAGGCAGUGCUUAAGUCUCAAAAAAGAGUUGUCAUGUCAUCCUCAACUUGAGAUGUUUGCUUGGCAAGCAUUUUUUACUCUCUGGAGGAAAUUUUGUUUACAGGAUUUAACAGUUACACACACAAACACACACACACACACACACACACACACACACAAUUACUCAUUGUUCAGCUGCAGAACAAAGGUCAGCUCUUGGCACGCAGUAGUUUUCCAAUUCCUGAUCCUUUUUGAUUUUCAAUGUGCCCAUCAGCAGACAUGUAAUUUUAUCUUAAGACAGCCAAGUGCAAAGCAUGAGACAAUAGGCAGAAAUCUUGUAAAUAACUAUCAAACAGAAAUAAUCCUUUCAGCUGACGAGGGAAAGCCUCCUUUGUUCCAUUUUAAUGAUGUUUAUAUAAAUUUUAGUAUGCAUAUUCA